RNAcentral lists this long non-coding RNA (247 nucleotides) under Ananas comosus (pineapple). RNAcentral describes it as "long non-coding RNA (ACOM_LNC039139)". The record is from RNAcentral. Lineage: Eukaryota; Viridiplantae; Streptophyta; Magnoliopsida; Poales; Bromeliaceae.
UUAAUCACUUAAUAAAUGUUCGUUUUGAAAUAAGUGUGUCCCUUCGUUUUUUUAUAAUUGUCUUUUCGUUUUCUUAAAAUGAGUUAUGAUAGUCUAGAUUUGUGUGUCUUUUAGUAUUCCUAAAAGUGCCUUUUAGUUUCUCUAUGAAAUUAAACAGUGCAUUAAUGUGUAGAGAAGAUGAAGAGUCAUUUGAGAGCCUAUAAAUAUGUAAUGAUUUUUAUAAUGAAAAAUAAGUCAAGUUGAGUUG